Molecule: ribosomal RNA, 253 nt
Filed under: uncultured bacterium
Lineage: Bacteria
Description: partial 16S ribosomal RNA
Rfam family: Bacterial small subunit ribosomal RNA
Source: RNAcentral
UACGAAGGGGGCUAGCGUUGCUCGGAAUUACUGGGCGUAAAGGGCUCGUAGGCGGCCAACUAAGUCGGAUGUGAAAUCCCCAGGCUUAACCUGGGAACUGCAUCCGAUACUGGAUGGCUUGAAUCCGGGAGAGGGAUGCGGAAUUCCAGGUGUAGCGGUGAAAUGCGUAGAUAUCUGGAGGAACACCGGUGGCGAAGGCGACUUCCUGGCCUGUUCUUAACGCUGAGGCGCGAAAGCUAGGGUAGCAAACGGG